RNAcentral lists this ribosomal RNA (395 nucleotides) under uncultured bacterium. RNAcentral describes it as "bacterial SSU rRNA". It matches the Rfam family "Bacterial small subunit ribosomal RNA", at positions 28 to 426 of the family's 1533-position model. The record is from RNAcentral.
GACGAACGCUGGCGGCGUGCUUAACACAUGCAAGUCGAACGGUAAGGCCCUUCGGGGUACGACGAGUGGCGAACGGGUGAGUAACACGUGGGUGAUCUGCCCUGCACUUCGGGAUAAGCCUGGGAAACUGGGUCUAAUACCGGAUAGGACCAUGGACUUCACGGUUUGUGGUGGAAAGCUUUUGCGGUGUGGGAUGGGCCCGCGGCCUAUCAGCUUGUUGGUGGGGUAAUGGCCUACCAAGGCGACGACGGGUAGCCGGCCUGAGAGGGUGUCCGGCCACACUGGGACUGAGAUACGGCCCAGACUCCUACGGGAGGCAGCAGUGGGGAAUAUUGCACAAAUGGGCGCAAAGCCUGAUGCAGCGACGCCGCGUGAGGGAUGACGGCCUCGGUUGU